RNAcentral lists this ribosomal RNA (557 nucleotides) under uncultured euryarchaeote. RNAcentral's name for it is "bacterial SSU rRNA". It matches the Rfam family "Archaeal small subunit ribosomal RNA", at positions 322 to 879 of the family's 1478-position model. Lineage: Archaea; Methanobacteriati; Methanobacteriota. The record is from RNAcentral.
CCUACGGGGUGCAGCAGGCGCGAAAACUUUACACUGCGGGAAACCGCGAUAAGGGGACCCCGAGUGCCAGCACCUAGUGCUGGCUGUCCUACUGUCUAAAUAACAGUGGUUAGCAAGGGCCGGGCAAGACCGGUGCCAGCCGCCGCGGUAACACCGGCGGCCCGAGUGGUAACCGUUUUUAUUGGAUUUAAAGGGUCCGUAGCCGGCUUACUAAGUCUCUUGGGAAAUCUGGCGGCUCAAUCGUCAGGCGUCCAAGAGAUACUGGUAGGCUUGGGACCGGGAGAGGUGGGAGGUACUCCAGGGGUAGGGGUGAAAUCUCGUAAUCCUUGGGGGACCACCGAUGGCGAAGGCAUCCCACCAGAACGGGUCCGACGGUGAGGGACGAAAGCUGGGGGCACGAACCGGAUUAGAUACCCGGGUAGUCCCAGCUGUAAACGAUGCUCGCUAGGUGUCAGGUGCGGUGCGACCGCAUCUGGUGCCGCAGUGAAAACUUGAAGCGAGUCACCUGGGAAGUACGGUCGCAAGGCUGAAACUUAAAGGAAUUGGCGGGGGAGCAC